RNAcentral lists this ribosomal RNA (254 nucleotides) under uncultured bacterium. RNAcentral describes it as "partial 16S ribosomal RNA". It matches the Rfam family "Bacterial small subunit ribosomal RNA", at positions 524 to 776 of the family's 1533-position model. The record is from RNAcentral.
UACGGGAGGAGCAAGCGUUGUUCGGAUUUACUGGGCGUAAAGGGCGCGUAGGCGGUCAGCACAAGUCAGUUGUGAAAUCUCCGGGCUUAACUCGGAAAGGUCAACUGAUACUGUGCGACUAGAGUGCAGAAGGGGCAACUGGAAUUCUCGGUGUAGCGGUGAAAUGCGUAGAUAUCGAGAGGAACACCUGCGGCGAAGGCGGCGAUCUGGACGAUGACUGACGCUGAGACGCGAAAGCGUGGGGAGCAAACAGG